Molecule: non-coding RNA, 1407 nt
Organism: Myodes glareolus (Bank vole)
Lineage: Eukaryota; Metazoa; Chordata; Mammalia; Rodentia; Cricetidae
Source: RefSeq, a predicted model, not a curated record
CACUGAGUGAACGUAAAACGGGAUGAAUUCUGGCAUUCACAGUGAAAGGUGCUCCUGUCUCAUUUCCUCGCUCCCGUCAACCACACAGUGAUUAACCCUACGCCCGAAACCCACGCCUUCCAUCAUUUAAGGAUCCAUAACAAGACAGAAGAUACCCAGCUAAUGGCUGCGGAUCAGAUGACAAAUGAUGACCCACGGACCAAAGACUGAAUGACACCCAUUUCCAGGCUGCCAUGGCACUAAGAGGGAUUUCUACAAAUUCCGAAUGAUCAGCGGCAAGGGAGAGACUGAAAGGAUAGCGUAACUGGUGAUGUGCAACAUUAACUGAAACCCAACUAUUCUUAUACAAAUGCAAAAUUGCAUUAAAACUAAGCCACAUUUGUGCCUAUGGCAGUGUUGGUGCUACAGCGGUGCCACUGUCUACCGUCUACACAGUCUAAGAGUAUAGCAUGCGUGAAAAGAAAUCCUCUACUGAUGGGAUGCUGAGUCUCAAGACUGGGUCCGACUCACAGCAUGGAACCAAGAACAUGGCUACAGGAGGGACUCUGCUGCCUUGCCACAGCACCAUCAACCUUUAACGCUGAAACCAUUAAGCAGUGGAAGAGGUCUUAGAUCAUUAGGGGAAGCCAUCAGAGAGUACUUUGGGAUAUUUGGCCAGUCCUGAGCACUUGAAGAUACAACCCUGCUACUGGAGAUGCUACACACUUUCGAUGGAGGAGGUGGGAGAAUGGGUCUGGAGCUGACUUUGAAGCCUCCUUCCUGAGGACUCACAUUCUUAGUGUCUGAAGGUGCUGUGCAAGCUGAUGGGGGAGAAAAAUAAUCACUAGUCCUACCCGAAUGGAAAGAUGGCUAACAACAGCAGUGACCAGCAUGGCAAAACAUCUCUAACGAUGUCAUAGUGGUGCUUAUUUCUUGGGAGUAACUGAGGAUCAUCUCAUUGGACUUAUCCCACUCAUUAAGAGGGAAUUCCUACCUGACAAUGUAAACCCAGAUAGUCACCCAUGACUUGUAAGGCCAUAAGCCCUAGAGGAAAACCUAUUACUGUCGCUUUUCUAAACCGGUAUCAUUUCUGACUGCAUUCUAAAUCCUUCCCUGUAGAUAAGUGUAGCUCUGACCCCUCAGCAAGGGAGCUUCUCUUUACAGGAGAUGGAGACAGUUACAGAGAUCCACCAUUGGAAGAAUGCAGAGAACCUCUGGCUGUGGGGUGCCCACCCCAACUGGCACAUCUAUAUCACACCUCCUAUACCUAAGGCUCAGGGAACAUCGCAGAAGCAGGCAGAGAGAUUCUAUGACUCAGGGCACUAGGAUAUCUGCUAUGAGAUCAGGUUUGCUAGACAGGGAAGCUGCGCCCAUGAAAUCUCAACAUUUUGGUUGCCGUUGAGAUCAGCAUGAUAGCAUCCAUCGUCA